Non-coding RNA from Brachypodium distachyon (stiff brome), 200 nucleotides. Lineage: Eukaryota; Viridiplantae; Streptophyta; Magnoliopsida; Poales; Poaceae. The record is from Rfam.
UAGGUUUGUCCUAAGUCAAACUUCUUCAAGUUUGACCAAGUUUAUAGAAAAUUAUACUAAUAUCUAAAAUAUCAAAUGAGUCCAGUAUGACUAUAUAUAUAAUGACAGAUUUAAUAAAACUAAUUUAGAGUUCUAGAUGUCGGUAGAAUUUCCUGUAAGCUUGGUCAAACUUGAAUAAGUUUGACUUAGGACAAAACUAG